Long non-coding RNA from Pezoporus flaviventris, 789 nucleotides. RefSeq lists it as uncharacterized. The transcript has 3 exons. NCBI's taxonomy places the organism in Eukaryota, Metazoa, Chordata, Aves, Psittaciformes, Psittacidae. The record is from RefSeq and is a predicted model, not a curated record.
CUUGUGGCUGCCAAGUCAAAGCCUUGCUGCUGGCUCUCAUACCGAAGGACCCGGAUCAUCAUCUGAGUCACUUGGCGAAGAAGCAGCCCUGACUCAGGAUCCACAUGUGAGAGCAGAAGGCACCUACCUUUCUUUCUACCUGUAAAGUAAGAUGAACCACAUUUAUGUUCCUCAAAUAAUGGCAAUUAGUACCUAACAUUGUACAUAAUGUCAUGAAAUAACCUUGCCUCACUGUUCUUUCCUGAAGGAAAUUAGUGGUUUUGAUCUAUGGAUGGACAAUCUCAAAUCUUGUGUCUAACCCCUGACAUUCAACCCUGUCCAGAGUCACGGGCAGAUUGCACGAAUGACAGCUUCCCUUUCUGACCACAGUGGAAUUAACAGAGACUCAUCUACUGUCCUCAGUGGUGACCUAGAGGAGUGACCUUCUCCAGCUGCAAAGGUGCAUGCAACUCCCUUUGGCCACCUGCGCUGACUUUCUCAGGUUGCAGUGAGAGAACAGCACCACGAAGAUGGAAAGAGGGAGAGUGUUUUUGUCUGGCCAUGGGAGUGUUCCAACAUCACAGAUAUUCCCUGAACUCAAACUGAAAGCUGUGCUCUCCAUCCCAAACCUUGGCUAUGAGGAUUUCCGCCACUUUAGCCACGCCAUUGAGCCUGUUGAAGGAGCUUGAGGAGACGAUUCAGCAGCAGACUGUAAAUAUGGCCAAGACUUUGAGAACACAAACUGGGAACCCUUGCAGAUGAGACAUAACCCACCUCAUUAUUCUCAGCAUGAGGAGACCUGUUUUCUUG